GAUGAAGAACGUAGCGAAAUGCGAUAAGUAAUGUGAAUUGCAGAAUUCAGUGAAUCAUCGAAUCUUUGAACGCACCUUGCACUCCUUGGUAUUCCGAGGAGUACGCCUGUUCGAGUGUUAUGAAGCUCUCAAAACGCAAUUGGCUUAAAACCUGAUUGUUGUUUUGGAUUUGAACUUUGCCGUGUUAUAACGGCUGGUUUUAAAAGUAUUAGCUGGUACUAGAACGAAUUGGUUCUACUCAACGUGAUAAUUAUCUGAUCGUUGAGGACAUUCCUUUCACGAUGAAUGGCCAUAGUAAAUUCAAUGGACUGCUUCUAAUCUGGCUUUAAUUCUUUAUUGGAUUAACCACUUUUCAAAUCUGACCUCGAAUCAGGUGGGACUACCCGCUGAACUUAAGCAUAUCAAUAAGCGGAGGA
This 416-nucleotide unclassified non-coding RNA is filed under the name soil metagenome. Its description in RNAcentral is "partial contains 5.8S ribosomal RNA, internal transcribed spacer 2, and large subunit ribosomal RNA". The stretch from base 1 to 120 matches the Rfam family "5.8S ribosomal RNA", at positions 35 to 154 of the family's 154-position model. The record is from RNAcentral.